Molecule: ribosomal RNA, 463 nt
Filed under: uncultured Thiobacillus sp.
Lineage: Bacteria; Pseudomonadati; Pseudomonadota; Betaproteobacteria; Nitrosomonadales; Thiobacillaceae
Description: bacterial SSU rRNA
Rfam family: Bacterial small subunit ribosomal RNA
Source: RNAcentral
ACGGGACCGCACAAGCGGUGGAUGAUGUGGAUUAAUUCGAUGCAACGCGAAAAACCUUACCUACCCUUGACAUGCCAGGAACCUGCCAGAGAUGGUUGGGUGCUCGAAAGAGAACCUGGACACAGGUGCUGCAUGGCUGUCGUCAGCUCGUGUCGUGAGAUGUUGGGUUAAGUCCCGCAACGAGCGCAACCCUUAUCAUUAGUUGCUACGCAAGGGCACUCUAAUGAGACUGCCGGUGACAAACCGGAGGAAGGUGGGGAUGACGUCAAGUCCUCAUGGCCCUUAUGGGUAGGGCUUCACACGUCAUACAAUGGUCGGUACAGAGGGUUGCCAAGCCGCGAGGCGGAGCCAAUCCCACAAAGCCGAUCGUAGUCCGGAUUGUUCUCUGCAACUCGAGAGCAUGAAGUCGGAAUCGCUAGUAAUCGCAGGUCAGCAUACUGCGGUGAAUACGUUCCCGGGCCUU